RNAcentral lists this ribosomal RNA (1721 nucleotides) under Ochromonas sp. CCMP1393. Its description in RNAcentral is "partial Bacterial large subunit ribosomal RNA". It matches the Rfam family "Bacterial large subunit ribosomal RNA", at positions 1 to 1826 of the family's 2925-position model. Lineage: Eukaryota; Chrysophyceae; Chromulinales; Chromulinaceae. The record is from RNAcentral.
AAGCAAAUAAGGGCGUAUGGGGGAUGCCUUGGCUCUAAGAGACGACGAAGGACGUGGUAAGCUGCGAAAAGUUACGGGGAGAUGCAAACAAUUUUUGAUCCGUAAAUGUCCGAAUGGGGAAACCCUCUAUGUUGAAGACAUAGAAUACACGUAAGUGUAAGAAAACCCGGGGAACUGAAACAUCUAAGUACCUGGAGGAAAAUAUAACAAUAGUUAUUCCGCAAGUAGUGGCGAGCGAACGCGGAACAGCCCUAAAGCUUAUAUAUAAUUAGCAGAAUCUUCUGGAAAGUUGAACGAUACAAGGUGAUAGUCCUGUAAGCGAAAAUUAUAUACAAGUUAUUCGAGUAUGGCGGAGCCGGUGAAACUCUGUCUGAAUAUAGCAGCACCAUCUGCUAAGGCUAAAUACUACUUAGAGACCGAUAGCGAACCAGUACUGUGAAGGAAAGGUGAAAAGAACCCUAAGAAAGGGAGUGAAAAGAACCUGAAACCAUACGCUUACAAGCGGUCGGAGCCUACGGGUGACGGCGUGCCUUUUGCAUAAUGAUCCUACGAGUUACUCCUCACUAGCAAGUUUAAGUACUUCAGGUACGUAGGCGUAGCGAAAGCGAGUCUGAAUAGGGCGUUUGUCAGUGUUUAUAGACCCGAACCCGGGUGAUCUAACCAUGGCCAGGAUGAAGCUUGGGUGAUACCAAGUGGAGGUCCGAACCGACUGAUGUUGAAAAAUCAGCGGAUGAGCUGUGGUUAGGGGUGAAAUGCCAAUCGAACCCGGAGCUAGCUGGUUCUCCCCGAAAUACGUUGAGGCGUAGCGUCUCGUGCUCCAGCAGGGGGGUAAAGCCACCAUUUCGGUGCGGGCUGCGAGAGCGGUACCAAAUCGAGAUGAACUCUGAAUACCCUGUGUGUAGCGAGGCAGUCAGACUGUGGGGGAUAAGCUCCAUGGUCGAGAGGGAAACAGCCCAGACCGCCAGCUAAGGUCCCCAAAUCAACACUAAGUGAUAAAGGAGGUGGGAUUGCCCAGACAACCAGGAGGUUUGCCUAGAAGCAGCCAUCCUCAAAGGAGUGCGUAAUAGCUCACUGGUCGAGCGAUCCUGCGCCGAAAAUGAAUGGGGCUAAGUGUUGUACCGAAGCUGCGGAUUUAUGGUAGGGGAGCGUUCUAUGUGGGGCGAAGCGUUAGCGUGAGCGGGCGUGGACUGCAUAGAAGUGAGAAUGUCGGCUUGAGUAGCGAAAACAUGGGUGAGAAUCCCAUGCACCGAAACCCUAAGGGUUCCUCCGGCAGGUUCGUCCGCGGAGGGUUAGUCAGGACCUAAGGCGAGGCCAAACGGCGUAGUCGAUGGACAACGGGUAAUUAAUCCCGUACUGAUAUGGAUUUGUGCAGAGGGACGGAGAAGGCAUGAGCCAGCCGGAUGUUGGUUACCGGUGCAAGCGUUUGAGGCGUUGAGGAGUGGAGAAAACAUUCCGAGCUGAGGCGUGAGUCCGAGGUGAUACGUCACCGAAGUGGUAGCAGUCAAGCUUCCAAGAAAAGCUCCAAGCACGUUAAGUCCAUGUUACCUGUACCCGAAACCGACACAGGUAGGGAGGUUGAGAAUACCAAGGGGCGCGAGAUAACUCUCUCUAAGGAACUCGGCAAAAUGGCCCCGUAACUUCGGAAGAAGGGGUGCCCACCUAAGACGUGGGUCGCAGUGAAGAGAUCCAGGCGACUGUUUACCAAAAACACAGGUCUCCGC